CAGCAGCCGCGGUAAUACGUAGGGUGCAAGCGUUAAUCGGAAUUACUGGGCGUAAAGCGUGCGCAGGCGGUUCGGAAAGAAAGAUGUGAAAUCCCAGAGCUUAACUUUGGAACUGCAUUUUUAACUACCGGGCUAGAGUGUGUCAGAGGGAGGUGGAAUUCCGCGUGUAGCAGUGAAAUGCGUAGAUAUGCGGAGGAACACCGAUGGCGAAGGCAGCCUCCUGGGAUAACACUGACGCUCAUGCACGAAAGCGUGGGGAGCAAACAGGAUUAGAUACCCUGGGAGUCCACGCCCUAAACGAUGUCAACUAGCUGUUGGGGCCUUCGGGCCUUGGUAGCGCAGCUAACGCGUGAAGUUGACCGCCUGGGGAGUACGGUCGCAAGAUUAAAACUUAAAGGAAUUGGCGGG
Molecule: ribosomal RNA, 408 nt
Filed under: uncultured microorganism
Description: bacterial SSU rRNA
Rfam family: Bacterial small subunit ribosomal RNA
Source: RNAcentral